This 27-nucleotide non-coding RNA is filed under the name Cricetulus griseus (Chinese hamster). The record is from RNAcentral. Lineage: Eukaryota; Metazoa; Chordata; Mammalia; Rodentia; Cricetidae.
AGGCAAAUGGUAAAAGAAUGGGGUGUA